AACGAACGCUGGCGGCAUGCCUAACACAUGCAAGUCGAACGAGACCUUCGGGUCUAGUGGCGCAAGGGUGCGUAACGCGUGGGAACCUGCACUUAGGUUCGGAAUAACUCCCCGACAGGGGUGCUAAUACCGGAUAAUGUCUUCUGACCAAUGAUUUAUCGCCUUUGGAUGGGCCCGCGUUGGAUUAGCUAGUUGGUAGGGUAAAAGCAUACCAAGGCGACGAUCCAUAGCUGGUCUGCGAGGAUGAUCAGCCACACUGGGACUGAGACACGGCCCAGACUCCUACGGGAGGGAGCGGUGGGGAAUAUUGGACAAUGGGGGGAAGCCUGAUCCAGCAAUGCCGCGUGAGUGAUGAAGUCCUUAGGGUUGUAAAGCUCUUUUACCCGGGAUGAUAAUGACGGUACCGGGAGAAUAAGCUCCGGCUAACUCCGUG
RNAcentral lists this ribosomal RNA (433 nucleotides) under uncultured bacterium. Its description in RNAcentral is "partial 16S ribosomal RNA". It matches the Rfam family "Bacterial small subunit ribosomal RNA", at positions 29 to 507 of the family's 1533-position model. The record is from RNAcentral.